This is a long non-coding RNA of Amphiprion ocellaris (clown anemonefish), 1643 nucleotides long. RefSeq lists it as uncharacterized. The transcript is spliced from 2 exons. The record is from RefSeq and is a predicted model, not a curated record. NCBI's taxonomy places the organism in Eukaryota, Metazoa, Chordata, Actinopteri, Pomacentridae.
UACAGCACGGCAUGUGUGACAAAUUGAGUCUUUCUUAUCUGGUUUUCGCAAAAUGCUGUCUGCGGACGGAGAGGUGAGCUCGCAGGACAUACUGUAUAUCAGCAGCGUGUGUGAAGCAGGACUUUCACCAUUACCACCAAAAUACAAAACCACGUGAUUUAGGAGAACACGUUCACAAACUUCCUUGAAAAACUGCUAAAGGAUGUGCAUUUAUCCAGGUGUACUGUUGUUCCCUGAAAGUGAGCAGCCCUCAGUGUGCCGUUAGCCUAAAUGACACUGAGCAUGGGAAAAUGGUUAAGGUGUUCAACAACAUUAAAAGGUAAGGUUGGAGAGCUGAGCGGCCUAUAAUUCAUGAAGCGACACAUUGGUUGGCGCCACCAUAGCCCUGUCAUUAGAUCGAUUUACUAAACAAACUCAAACUAGGGUGGGGAUGUUAAACAGUAACCCAGCGCCAUAAAAACGAAAAGGAAAAGAUCACCAGGUGUGUGUGUGGUUGUGUGCGUAUGUCUAUGUCAGGCAGGACCUCUAACACCACCUCCGAGGGCAGGACGUAGGAGAUCCAAGAGGUCUGAGGUAAUGUUUCACAAAAUAAUGGGAGAGCAGUAAUGAUUUUAGAUAUUUAUUUCUCUUCUCGGCUAUGAAGCCGAACACUUGAGCUAUGUACACAGGGGUUAAGUGUUAGUAAAUACAGUGAAAUUAAUUUAGUUGUCAUCUCCACUCCUUUCAUGCCUUUCAGAUUAAGUUAAGCGAUGAAAAAUAAAACCAUAGUCUUUGAGUACAUUACAUAAAUCACAAGCUUGAGCCGCAUGUAGUAUAAACAUAGACCAGCAGGUGGCAAGAGUUCACUCAUUUUGAGUCAAAAGCUGAUGGCAGUUUUCACUCGUGCCAAAUUCUUUCAGCAUUUUGAUCAAUAAAAGAACAGUUUGACAGGUAUUUAACAUCUGCUGUUUGACUUUGGCUGUUCCACGUCACAUAAUAUCUCUCCCCAAAUUUCCUGACUGUCUAUGGACAACUCAAGUAUCAAGUAAGACACAAAAUAUCAAAUAAUGGCAUUUAUUAUAAUUAAAACAAAGAAGCACAGCUUAAGCAUUGUAUAAUUUAAAAGGAAUAAGUCCACAUGACACAACAGUGGUAGAACCAAUGAAGCAGAACUAGCGAUGUUUUAGAUUACAGCUGUGGUCUUUCUAUGUGUGUUUGAAAAUGUCAACAAAACAAGCUAUACAAAUAAAAGAAAACUGACAACAUCCCAAAAUGAUUAUUUUGUCCAACUGAUGCUCACAAACUCAUGAAUGAAGGUUCAUAUUUCAAAGAAACUCUCAAACAAACGCUGAUAGAUUCAUAGAACUGAAAAUGGUAUGUAUUCUAAUUGCACUAUAUGUACCGCUUAAAGAUUUUUAGUCAUCUUUCUGCUCUUUACAUUCUGUUUAUUUUAUUUAUUUAUUUAUUUAUUUGUUCUUUUAUGCCAUCUUAUCUGUUUAAAUGAUUAUUCUGAUGCUAUUUUUGGACGUUGUUCUGAUAUCAAAUAUCUGCAUUUAUGGAACUCCAACAAAAAUAAAGACCAGUCAAGUGAAGCUAAAACUACAAAAAAAAAAAAAAAAAAAAAAAUGUCAAUGAAGUCCCUUGAAACCCCCGGUCACACACUU